Molecule: small nuclear RNA, 146 nt
Gene: U2
Rfam family: U2 spliceosomal RNA
About the family: U2 is a small nuclear RNA (snRNA) component of the spliceosome (involved in pre-mRNA splicing). Complementary binding between U2 snRNA (in an area lying towards the 5' end but 3' to hairpin I) and the branchpoint sequence (BPS) of the intron results the bulging out of an unpaired adenosine, on the BPS, which initiates a nucleophilic attack at the intronic 5' splice site, thus starting the first of two transesterification reactions that mediate splicing.
Source: Ensembl
AGUGCUUCUCAGCCUUUUGGCUAAGAUCAAGUAUAAGUAUCUGUUUUUUUUCAGUUUGAUAUCUGAUAUAUCCUCUAUCUGACUUUCCUUGUGGCUCAGCUGGUAAAGAAUCCACCUGCAAUGUUGGAGACCUGGAUUCAAUUCUU